RNAcentral lists this ribosomal RNA (119 nucleotides) under uncultured bacterium. RNAcentral's name for it is "partial 16S ribosomal RNA". It matches the Rfam family "Bacterial small subunit ribosomal RNA", at positions 1365 to 1482 of the family's 1533-position model. The record is from RNAcentral.
AAUACGUUCCCGGGCUUGUACACACCGCCCGUCACACCACGAAAGUCGGCAACACCCGAAGCCGGUGGCCUAACCCUUUUGGGAGGGAGCCGUCGAAGGUGGGGUUGGUGAUUGGGGUG